CGGGAGGUCACAUGCUUCUUUAUAUACCCAUAUGAACUACAUUGCUAUGGAAUGUAAGGAAGUGUGUGGCUUCUCU
This is a non-coding RNA of Xenopus laevis (African clawed frog), 76 nucleotides long. NCBI's taxonomy places the organism in Eukaryota, Metazoa, Chordata, Amphibia, Anura, Pipidae. The record is from Rfam.